AUUGAACGCUGGCGGCAUGCCUUACACAUGCAAGUCGAACGGCAGCGGGCCCUUCGGGGUGCCGGCGAGUGGCGAACGGGUGAGUAAUGCAUCGGAACGUACCCGGGAGAGGGGGAUAACCGGCCGAAAGGCUGGCUAAUACCGCAUGAACUCGGAAGAGCAAAGCGGGGGACCUUCGGGCCUCGCGCUCUCGGAGCGGCCGAUGUCCGAUUAGGCUAGUUGGUGGGGUAAAGGCCCACCAAGGCGACGAUCGGUAGCGGGUCUGAGAGGACGAUCCGCCACACUGGGACUGAGACACGGCCCAGACUCCUACGGGAGGCAGCAGUGGGGAAUCUUGGACAAUGGACGCAAGCCUGAUCCAGCAAUGCCGCGUGGGUGAAGAAGGCCUUCGGGUUGUAAAGCCCUUUCGGCGGGGAAGAAAUCGGUCAGGCGAAUAGUCUGGCCGGAUGACGGUACCCGCAGAAGAAGCACCGGCUAACUACGUG
This 485-nucleotide ribosomal RNA is filed under the name uncultured bacterium. Its description in RNAcentral is "partial 16S ribosomal RNA". It matches the Rfam family "Bacterial small subunit ribosomal RNA", at positions 28 to 507 of the family's 1533-position model. The record is from RNAcentral.